This is a long non-coding RNA of Eriocheir sinensis (Chinese mitten crab), 936 nucleotides long. RefSeq lists it as uncharacterized. The record is from RefSeq and is a predicted model, not a curated record. Lineage: Eukaryota; Metazoa; Arthropoda; Malacostraca; Decapoda; Varunidae. The transcript is spliced from 3 exons.
UGCUUCAGGGGCGGUAUACACAAACGUUCUUAGCAUCGCUAAGUGCACUUAACGGCAAAGAAUCGUUAAGUUUUCUACUUAAAAUGGCGCUGGGCCGCUUAGCGCUGAAGCUGGAGCACUUAGCGGGCGGAAAAUUUAAGGCGGGGAAGGGGCUCCCUUAGCACCGUUAAAAAUGCAUAAGUAUUGCAACAUGGUGGAUUACAGCGGGAUGAAAGGCAUCACCUCCUAAUAUAUCUGCCUCGUCUAGACGAAUUGGAGGCGUGUAAUGAUUUGAAACUCAUCCUGAAAUAUCUGUGGACUGUGCUGACCGUGCUGAGAUGAGUGGUUCGGCGAGGCGGACCUUGGAAACACCUACAUGGCCAUCACGACUGAAGUGGUGUUCGCCGACAGGCAAAAUGCAGGUGCAACCUUCACAGACUGACAGAGAUUGAGUGAUAACAGACACUGGAGACCCUCCAAGCGAUGGCUGGUGAGCGCCUGCCACCAUCCACAGGCUGUCACACAAGGAGCCCUGGGAGUAACCUUGCUGGAAGCCCCGCGGGCCGCAGUGUGUGGCUGGCGUUAUACAGCCCCCAGCCAUCGCCUGGAGGGCAUCCAGUGUCUGUUAUCACUCACCUUAGGUAGUCUGUGAAGGUCCAGUCAUCACUGGCGCACGUGUAUCUUACCUGUGAUCAACACCGGCAGCCACAGACUCCUGCCCAAGGAACGAACACAGUGAUCGUGAUGACAUUGACAACAACGAGCAAGUCCUCCUAGACCUAGAGUGACCUCAAGCUGGGCCAAACAUGAUGUGGAAGAAGAAAUCAGUUGUCUCCAUCAGUCGGGUUUGUGCCAUGGCAGCUUUCUCCAGCUGUCCGGCAGAGGUCCAGUCCAUGCCAUGGAGAAAUUCAGCCCCCAACAAUGAGAUGGCAUGCCAGUGAUGGAUCCGCAGCUUCU